Molecule: ribosomal RNA, 497 nt
Filed under: uncultured bacterium
Lineage: Bacteria
Description: partial 16S ribosomal RNA
Rfam family: Bacterial small subunit ribosomal RNA
Source: RNAcentral
GAUGAACGCUGGCGGCGUGCCUAAUACAUGCAAGUCGAGCGAACAGACGAGGAGCUUGCUCCUCUGACGUUAGCGGCGGACGGGUGAGUAACACGUGGAUAACCUACCUAUAAGACUGGGAUAACUUCGGGAAACCGGAGCUAAUACCGGAUAAUAUAUUGAACCGCAUGGUUCAAUAGUGAAAGACGGUUUUGCUGUCACUUAUAGAUGGAUCCGCGCCGCAUUAGCUAGUUGGUAAGGUAACGGCUUACCAAGGCAACGAUGCGUAGCCGACCUGAGAGGGUGAUCGACCGCACUGGAACCUAGACAAGGCCCAGACGACCGCGGCAAGCAGCAGAAGGGACUCUUCCGCAACGGGCGAGUCCCUGGCGGACCAACUCCGGAUGAGUGGUGAAAGGCUUCGGAUCUAAAAACUCUGUGAUUAGGGAAGAACAAAGGUGUAAUUAACCAUUCACGUCUAGACGGUACCUAAUCAGAAAGCCACGGCUAACUACGUG